AGAGUUUGAUCCUGGCUCAGGACGAACGCUGGCGGUGUGCUUCACACAUGCAAGUCGAACGGAGUAGCAAUACUCAGUGGCGGACGGGUGAGUAACACGUGGGAAUCUACCAUUAGGUGGGGAAUAACAGGCCGAAAGGACUGCUAAUGCCGCAUAUGUAGGCAUCUCGACAGAGAUGUUUAUGAAAGGAGUAAUCCGCCUUUUGAUGAGCCCGUGUCCGAUUAGCUAGUUGGUAGGGUAAAAGCCUACCAAGGCGACGAUCGGUAGGUGGUCUGAGAGGAUGAUCACCCACAAUGGGACUGAGACACGGCCCAUACUCCUACGGGAGGCAGCAGUGGGGAAUUUUACGCAAUGGGGGAAACCCUGACGUAGCGACACCGCGUGAGCGAAGAAGCCCUUUGGGGUGUAAAGCUCUGUCAACAGGAACGAAACAAAUGACGGUACCUGUGGAGGAAGCAUCGGCUAACUACGUGCCAGCAGCCGCGGUAAGACGUAGGAUGCAAGCGUUGUCCGGAUUUAUUGGGCGUAAAGAGUUCGUAGGCGGUUUGUUAAGUCUGAUGUUAAAGACCGGGGCUCAACCUCGGAAAUGCAUUGGAUACUGGCAGACUGGAGUGCAGUAGAGGCUAGUGGAAUUCCCAGUGUAGCGGUGAAAUGCGUAGA
RNAcentral lists this ribosomal RNA (660 nucleotides) under uncultured bacterium. RNAcentral's name for it is "bacterial SSU rRNA". It matches the Rfam family "Bacterial small subunit ribosomal RNA", at positions 8 to 694 of the family's 1533-position model. The record is from RNAcentral.